This 551-nucleotide ribosomal RNA is filed under the name uncultured bacterium. RNAcentral describes it as "bacterial SSU rRNA". It matches the Rfam family "Bacterial small subunit ribosomal RNA", at positions 792 to 1347 of the family's 1533-position model. The record is from RNAcentral.
AGUCCACGCCCUAAACGAUGAACACUAGGUGUGGGGAGCGAUAGCUUUCCGUGCCGCAGCUAACGCAAUAAGUGUUCCACCUGGGGAGUACGGCCGCAAGGUUGAAACUCAAAGGAAUUGACGGGAGCCCGCACAAGCAGUGGAGUAUGUGGUUUAAUUCGACGCAACGCGAAAAACCUUACCAAGGAUUGACAUCCAGAGGAGACUGGGUAAUGCCGGUUGUGCCCUUCGGGGAACUCUGAGACAGGUGGUGCAUGGUUGUCGUCAGCUCGUGUCGUGAGAUGUUGGGUUAAGUCCCGCAACGAGCGCAACCCUUACUGUUAGUUGCUACGCAAGAGCACUCUGGCAGGACUGCCGUUGACAAAACGGAGGAAGGUGGGGACGACGUCAAAUCAUCAUGCCCCUUAUAUCUUGGGCUACACACGUACUACAAUGGCGUGGAACAAAGGGCAGCGACCCCGCGAGGGUGAGCGAAUCCCAGAAAACACGUCCCAGUUCGGACUGGAGGCUGCAACUCGCCUCCACGAAGUUGGAAUUGCUAGUAAUCGCGA